This 13837-nucleotide long non-coding RNA is filed under the name Triticum aestivum (bread wheat). Its description in RNAcentral is "long non-coding RNA (TAES_LNC011687)". The stretch from base 8876 to 8962 matches the Rfam family "MIR1120/MIR1122 microRNA precursor family". Lineage: Eukaryota; Viridiplantae; Streptophyta; Magnoliopsida; Poales; Poaceae. The record is from RNAcentral.
UUUUUUUUUUCACCUUUCAGAAUCUUUUACUACUUUGGUCUGUCCUUUGUUCUUGAAUAAAAAUUGUCAGCUGCAUUGUCUAGAAUCCAGUUUUGUUUUUUUGAGAAUCAUCGGGGAGGAGUCCCUCCACCUGGUCUGAUUUGUGUGCAAAUAUACAUUUCCCAGUCAAUCACUGACAACUCGUUCCAUUAUGUGGAAGGGGGUAGCAUGGCAAAAAUCUAACACUAAUCUAACUGGCCCAGGAAGGCAGGAACAAAAUAGCUGCUAAUCUUGGUCGCGUCAAAUCCCUGGUAGAAGUAUUAACCAGCCAACGGAUCAGAUUCACGCACACUCGCGCAGGCUCCACCGAACGGAUCACAGGAGGACAUCGAACGGCUGCCGUUGCACCAUCAGCAAGCCGUCCACUCCGGAGCACAGCUCGCCAGUCGCCGCCACUACGCCUCCGUCCCCCGAUCAGCCAUGGCGGGCGAAACCCUCGCGGCCUCCCCCGCCUCGUCACCAAAACCCUAAACCCUAUCCCACCGCCGAACCCCGCCACCCCAGUCCACACGUCCGGCGCGGCGGCCAUGGGGCCCCGUGGAGACGGCGUCCGCUUCAUCUCCUCCGGCGUCAAGCUCCCGCGCGCCUCCCCGGCCCCUGCCCCGGCGCACGCCCUGCUCUCCGCCGCGCUCCCCCCGUUCGCUCACAUCGGCCGGGCCAUCGACGCCGCGGCCCGCCGCGUCGCCGCGUCGUUCCCCCGCGUCCCAGCCGCGCGGGCCGAGACGCCGGCCGCGCCCUUGCCGCGGAGGCACGGGAAGGACGGCGGCGGGGCCGGGGGCGAGGAGCGAGUCCUAAUCAGCGAGGUGGCGGUGCGGGGAAAGGACGGGGAGCCCCUGGAGAGGCCCGAGCUGGAGGAGGCGGCCGCCGCGGCCCUGCGAGCGUGCCGCCCCAACGCGGCGCUCACGGUGAGGGAGGUGCAGGAGGAUGUGCACCGCGUGGUGGAGAGUGGCCUCUUCCGCUCCUGCAUGCCCGUUGCUGUCGACACCCGCGACGGCAUUCGCCUUGUCUUUGAGGUCAGGAUUUUGCCUGUUCCCCAAUCCCUUUCCCGUGGCUUAUUUUUGGAGUUGAAGGUUGAGAAAUUUGGGAUGUUCUGUUGUUUAGGUGGAGCCGAACCAGGACUUCCACGGGCUGGUCUGUGAGGGUGCCAACAUGCUGCCUUCCAAGUUCCUAGAUGACUCAUUUCGCGACCGCCAUGGUACUUGUUCUCAUGUUUAAGAGUCUGUUACGUUAGAUAUGGUUAUUCAUUUGUGUAACCGAGUGUGUUGAUUUACUUUGCACAGUGCUACAUGAACCAACACUGCAUGUUAGCUUUAGUCCAUUUAAGUAUGUAAAUUUGUCUGGCACAGAGAUAUCUAGAAUGCAUAAGAGAAUUACCCAUACCAUGCCUAUUUUAUCUAAUGUAACAUUGGUCUAAAAUGAGGCCUGCAUUGAAAAAUUAUCACCGUUUUUGGUCCUAUUAUGAUACCAAUAGAUUGAACUGUGCAGCAUAAUUAUGCGACAGUUACAAUGCAAAAGCGACAUGGCAAAUAAAGCACGCCUUUUAUGUGGACUCACAUGGUUCUUGUUGUUGGUUUAGUUUUAAUCUUAAAGCCUGUUUUUCUACACUGCAUAGAAAUCUAUGGUAAAAUAGGUCCAUCUACAGUGACAUAAUCUCUCAGUAUCCUUUCUUUAUAGAGAAAUGAUGUAAAACUACUGAAUUAGGAACUGAGUUGGCCUCAGUUUGGUGGGAGAGUGUACAAUUCUAUAGCCUUGGUCAAGUCCUCUUCACUUGAGUGUGGGGUGUAUAUCUCUUCUUUAACAGAACAUGUAGUUCCUCCUGCAUGUUUCUUCAAAUAUUAUUUCUCUAAAAGAAAGAGAAACGAUUUUUUUAAUAUUAGUCUAUUAUUAUUAGCUUCUAAGAUUUGUUCUUGAGACCUAUGAUUGGUGUUUGCAUUAUGCAGGGAAAAUAAUCAACAUAAGACAUUUAGAUCAAGUGAUUAAGUCCAUUAACGGAUGGUAUCAGGAGCGCGGUCUUACUGGCAUGGUAGGUGGGGAAGCAAUUAAUAUAUAUUCAUAUUCUACCAUUUUGCAUAAUUUUUUGUUUUCUUCUAUUUGGUGAUGUAUUGCAAUUUGUUUGAGAACAUUGCUGAACAAUAGGCAUCUGCUGCACUUGUCUUAAGGAACAAGUGUAUAUGCUUUAUAUAUUCUUGGCUUCUAGUUCCACAGGACUUGAGUUGUCAAUUUCUGUUUUUGUAAUGCACUUGCCAUCAUUUACAUCUCACCUGUCACCAGUUCCAAAUUGGUAGGGCAUACAACAUAGUUCUGUUUUACCUGUUGUUUCUUACUUCCUGGUUCCUGCUAUGUAUAUGGAACUUAAUUGUCACGCCAUGCUUUUGAUUCUACAUGUUCUUAAUUGUAACAAACUAGAAACGUGAUGCGAGAAAAAAAUUGAAUGUGUGGGAGUUGCUAACAUGUUAGUUGUGUCUAGCAAACAUUUAGGUGCGUACCAUUUUUUGGUAAGAAGCAAUAUUAUUUACAAUUUUAGCUAGUAAAGUAAUAUUUUAUUGCUAUAUAAUGGUAAAUCAACGAAGGCACUUGAUUUUAUUUCAGGUUUCGUAUGCUGAGAUCCUUUCUGGAGGAAUUCUAAGGCUACAAGUUUCUGAAGCUGAGGUUAAUAAUAUCAAUAUUCGCUUUCUGGAUAGAAGAACGUGAGAAUCAUAGCUUGACUUAGUGAGAUCCUCUUUGCUGAUUAGUGUUUUAUGGCCAUUUAUUACUCUGAUCAUUUGUAUCUUCUUUCUCUUUCCAUCUCUCUAUCAUUAGUGGUGAACCAACUAUCGGGAAAACAAAACCAGAGACCAUACUUCAGCAGCUUACCACCAAGAAGGGUCAGGUCAGAGCAUUUUAGAAGUUACUUGCUGUAUUUGUAUUUUAAUCUACUUUGCACGUAUUAUUGAUGAUAUCCAUGAUUUUAUGAACAGUUCUCAUUUCACACUUUGGUAUACCGGUAUAUGGUGAUAUACGUUUAAGUAUUUUUAGUGUGGUGUGGAAGUUGCUAUGCAAAUACCAUGACCAAAACUACAAGUACUAUUGUUAAAAGGAUGUCAACAAUAUACCAAAUGUGGUUGGAAUCGGAUCAUGCUUGCAUAGUUUUUGUGUAUGUAGGCUUGGUUUGAUGUCAAUUUGAAACUGCUGUCCUCUAGCCUUGAUGCUGUAAUGGACAUCUUAUCUAUCUUAUUAAUGAUGAAAAUAGGCAUACAAUAGAGCACAAGUGAAAAGAGAUGUUGAAACAAUACUCACUAUGGGAAUUAUGGAGGAUGUCACAAUAAUUCCGCAGCCUGUGGGAGGUGAAUUAUAAUUCCCAUUUUCUUGAAGCUGGUCUUCAUUUUCUCAAGUACCUGUGCUCUUAUCUAUUGUCUUGUGCAGAUUCUAAUAAGGUGGAUCUUGUCAUGAAUCUUGUUGAACGCAAAUCCGGUGGUUUCUCUGCUGGUGGUGGCAUUUCGAGUGGGUUAGUGCUGUUUAUUUAGUGAACCCCAUUGAGUGAAUUGUAUGCUUUCAUAAUGUAUGUUUCUUAACCUGUGAGGCGCUGAGGUAGUUUGUUAUGUACUGGAUUUCGAAUACCAUAUGUGGCCUAUAUACAAAACAAUUGUCUUAACAUAUACCAUGCUAUUUUCUGUGCAGGAUAACAAAUGGGCCUCUUUCUGGAUUAAUAGGCAGGUCAGUAGAUUCCUCAGUAAAUACUAUCUUAUUUCCUCUGGGAUGGAAUAUGGCUUGUUUAAUUAUGUAAUAAUAUUGCCAUGGUAAUACUUUGAAGAUUUAAUCGUUCUUAGCUCCAACUGAGCUUCGAGCCUUUCUAAAAUAACUAACAAUUCCAAGAAGCAACCUGACAUAUAACCUGUUCAUAAUUAACUAUAGGCUUAAAAUGUAUCAGUUAGAAAGGGGCUCGUGCUCAUGAUAUGAGCUAUUCUCAAGCCCCGCCAUCACAUUGUAGGGCUAAAGUUAAGAUGACCCUCCAAAGCCCAAGCAUGACUUUAGGAACUGGCAAUUUUAGAUGUUGGUUUUAAUUUUGUUAUUUAUCUUAUACCUGCCUGGUUAAACUAGGAAGUUCUAAAUCUUUUUUUUUUACCUCACACUGGAGUUUUUAAACAGCUUUGCAUAUUCUCAGCGGAAUGUUUUUGGGAGGAACAAGAAGUUGAAUCUCUCACUAGAGAGGGGCCAAAUAGAUUCUAUAUUUCGUUUAAACUACACUGACCCUUGGAUUGACGGUGACAAUAAGAGGACCUCCAGAACUGUCAUGGUUCAGGUAUUUACCUUUAGUAUGAUAUCAUCACAGUUCGAUGAUUCAAUCAGCUGUGAAUCAUGUGCAUGCGCUUACGAUAGUUUUCCUUGUCAGAACUCUAGGACCCCUGGAACACUUAUCCAUGGUGGGGAGCAUCCUGACCAUAGUCCUAUUACAAUUGGACGGGUAACUGCUGGCAUUGAAUAUAGCCGACCUUUCAGGCCUAAAUGGAGUGGUACUCUUGGAUUGAUAUUUCAGGUAAACACGUGAAUAAGAGUUGUAGUAAUCGAUUCGCCUUUUCCCCUGCAUGUAGGCCUAUAUAGUUGUAUUAAUAGUUGUAGCAGAAGUCUAAAGCAGACAUAGUUGUGUACUCAUGUGAUGUUGGUACUAACUUUGUUGAUUGAACCGUAUAAAUAUGCAUUACUGUUUCCUUUGCUUACCUCUCCCUAAAAAUAGCCUAACUGCUUUCUGUUGACACUUUCUAUGCAGCAUGCUGGUGCUCGUGAUGAUAAAGGCAAUCCUAUGAUCAGAGAUUUCUAUAACAGCCAAUUAACUGCAAGGUCUCAAUCCUGAUUUCUCAUUCAACUUUAGUUUGUACCACAAGUAUAUACUCCCUCCGUUCCUAAAUAUAAGUCUUUUUAGAGAUUCUAAUAUGGACUACGUACGGAGCAAAAUGAGUGAAUCUACACUCUAAAUAUGUCUAUAUACAUUCAUAUGUACUUCAUAUAGAAAUCUCUAAGAAGACUUAUAUUUAGGGACGGGGGGAGUACAUAACAGUGUACAUCAUGAAUACAGUUGUCAGAUUAAGUUACUAUUCGAAAUGUGAUAGUCCUGUCAUGAAAAUGCAGCGGAAAUCCUUAUGAUGAUACAUUACUUGCUAAGCUUGAAAGUGUCUACACAGACUCUGGAGAUCAUAGCUCUACAAUGGUUAGUAUUUAUCCUCUGCAUUUUACUAUUUUCUAAUCUUGCUGUGACAAUUUCUUAUAUCAUACUGUUGUUACCGCUUCCAGUUUGUUUUCAACGUCGAGCAAGGUCUGCCCAUUCUUCCAGAGUGGCUUAGUUUCAACAGAGUGACAGCCCGUUUGAGGCAGAGCUAUGAAAUUGGUCCUGCCCGACUUCUUCUAAGGUAUGUUUUAGGCAUGCCGUGCCAUACCAAUAGUGAAAACAUCAGUUUAACCUGGAGGUCUGCACACAGUGGACUUACAUUUUUGUUGUUAUGUUACCUAAUAUAUCAUUUUAUUCUAUGAUCUAGUGCUUCUGGAGGUCAUGUGGAGGGAAACUUUUCGCCUCAUGAAGCAUUUGCAAUUGGUGGGACAAACAGUGUAAGAGGAUAUGAAGAAGGUGCUGUUGGUUCUGGCCGCUCAUAUGCAGUUGGUAGUGGUGAAGUCUCUUGCCGCUUGGUAAGCCUUGCCUCUCUUGUUCGCAAUAUUAAGUUAUUUGUUUAAACUGAACAUCCACAUGAAACACCUCUACAUAAAAUGCGCACAACCAUAUGCUAUUCUCAUAAAGAACUAGUCAGCAACAUCAAUGCACACAUAUCAAGAGAAAACUAAAAAUGCAGUAUUUGAUUUAGUUUGCAAUUUUAGGAUGAAGUCUUAUUUGCUCGUAUUUAAGAAUAUAACAGUAAAUCGAUUAUUUUGUUUGAGACAAAAAUAAAUAAAUACACAUGCAGUUCAGUGUAACAUCUCCAAUCCAUGUUGGACACAUAUUAACUGCAUUAUGCAGGCGUGCAACCUGGUACCUGUGCAUGCAUGGCCCUUCUUAGCCACGCAUAGGAGGGUACUAUUUUGAAUACCCAAUGAUUUGUUACUUGCCAAUGACAAACUAUUUUGAAUUAUUUCUGUACUUGUGUUAAUGAUCCAAUGAUUUGUUACUUGUCAUACAUAAUUUCAUGGCUGGAAAAUUAGUACUUUAAUCGUGGACUAUUCAUGAUUGCUACCUGCCAUGACAUCAAAUGCAUUUGACUAGUUCUUGUGCUACUCUGAUGUAUGUUAUGCUUGCCGUAUGAUUUGCAUUAAAGAAAAAAAAAUCAGCCUGCUUUGAUUACUCACAGUUGUCAUUUUCUGUGUAGUUUGGUCCGUUGGAAGGUGUGGUCUUUGGUGACUAUGGUAGUGAUCUUGGCUCUGGUCCAACAGUUCCUGGUAAGUCAUGUUGUACUCACAUUUUGCUGUGAUAUAUAAUUUUUAGUCCAUAUCUGUGGUCUCGAAAGCAGGCUGGCUCUGUACAUGUACUCAAAUUCUCUAAGCCUUGUUUUGGGUUUGAGGAAAAAUCUCCAAUUCAGAUUCAGAAUGAAGAAAACUAUUGCUUUUGGCCCCUAUUCUAGUUAGAAGAUUUUGCUGCUGCUGGAACAGGCCUGACAGGGGUUCCACCUCCUGAUUUUGUAGAGCAAUUUUGAUGUAUCACCUCUUCUCAUUUGCGCAAUCUCUCGUCGUUUUUUUUAGGUGACCCAGCAGGAGCACGUGGGAAGCCAGGAAGCGGUUGCGGGUAUGGUGUUGGCAUCCGUGUGGACUCCCCGCUGGGACCUUUGAGACUUGAAUACGCUUUCAAUGACAAACAAGCAAGACGAUUUCACUUUGGGGUUGGGCACAGAAAUUAAACUGUCGAGGUGUCUGUUAUUUGAUCUCUGUCAGCCUUAAUCUGAUUUACUGAGCAUGCACUGUUAGGGAUAGUGCUGUCGUCUUUGCGAUGUCGAUAGAAGUUUCCGCAAAGCAAAUUUUGUGUAGCCCAGAUUGCCUGAACAUAUACAGUUCUCCAUUCCUUCAAUCCUGUGUAAACUUUGCUGGAAGCCACAACCAGAGAAGGUUCUCCAGCUGGCAAGUCGCAGCGAGUUUUGUUGAUAUGAAAAUUUGAGCUAAGAAAUCAAAAUUGAGGACCUGUGUUGGUAAUGCGCCGCAUGCUUGCUUGAAUCCAGCAAGCCAUGUUUGCAUGUAAUGCAGCGGCUCCAGGUAGCCAUCCCGCUAGGUUGUUUGAAACUUUGAACAAUUUGGCCAACACAUAUUCCUGGGAAUGUCACCAUGUUCAGCUCGAUGGACUUUCCUCAUCUCCAAGUUUGUAAUGAUAAUCUGAACGAUCAGUGUCGUGUUAUGAGUUGUAACUAACCACAAUGCUCAUGUGCAACAUCUCGUGAGCAACAAUAUAACUAACCGCAAUGCUCAUGUGCAACAUCUCGUGAGUGACAGCAAAACAAUCACGGCAAGAGAGAAUUUGGUGAAGGCGAUUGAUUCUUCAAGUACAGUUCCUAAUUUCUUUGCACCUACCUUUGGAUGAAAUCAUAAUCCAAGUAGACUCAGUCUAGAAAUUCUAGCACCAAAGUCCCAACAGGCCCCAUGGGCAAACACAACAUCAUUUCAACGAACCCCAGUUGGAAACAGUACUCCAAAGCAAGAUUGCUUUUAAAUACUCUAUAUGGCAAGAGAAAAGAAAUUGAUGAUGUAUAAACUUUCAACACAAUCAAAAGGGUUAACAGGACCAACUGCAGUCUGGAGCCAUGAUUGUGAGCAGGUAUUUAAAAGUGUCGAAUCGGAAUGCCACAAAUCAGUUCUAGUUGCAUCUUCUUACUGGACAGCAAACCCAGCGGUUGUGUCUGUCACCCCAUAUGAUUCUCUUAAACAACAAAAUGAGGGAUGUCCAGCCACCGCAUAUGGGUCGCCACACUGCUGUAUUUCCUACUCCCUCCGUUCGGAAUUACUUGUCGCGAAAAUGGAUGUAUCUAGAUGUAUUUUAGUUCUAGAUACAUCCAUUUUCAAGACAAGUAAUUUCGAACGGAGGGAGUAGUAAACAACGGUCAGACACAAUGACGAGGAGUAAUAGUGUAUGCUACACAUGGCGAACGCAAUCCCAUCUUGUUUCUUGGUCCUUGCCUUCAGAGCACAAAGAAAGGUUGACGUGUGGCAAAGUUCUCGGGCUUCAGAAGACACUAUGAACAGCUGGUAUAGUUGCAGUGGUGCAGUCAUAUGUCACAAGCUGAUCUCCUUCGGUAGGCUGAUCUCCAGGAAAUACAAGCUGCCAAUGUGGAACCGCAAAUUAGGUAUGUAGUGAAAAGAAUAAUGUUGCUGCUUAUUUUCCAAGAAUAUAACAGUGUCCUCUGCUUUCAAGGCAUGGGGCUGUGUAUAACAACGUGAUAAUGAAAAGCAAUUGUGUCAAAAUUAGCAUGUGCUGUGAAGUGUGAAGGAAUGUGGGUUAUGCAUUUGUACUGUGAAAAUGCGUAUGGCAGGUUAGAAUUGUGCGAAUAUGGGCAUAACACAGAUGCAUUUGGCUAAUGACUAUUGAUGAUUGCAUUAAUGCAUAUGGCUGCUGACAAAAUUUACUCAGGUCCAUAUCUUUGCUUGGGUGAAGGGAGCAGUAUGUUUAAGGCUAUUGCCAAACACUGCUGCAAACAUAUUAUUAUGCCAUGUUUGGGUAAAGGGACCGGUAUGUUUAAGCCUAUUGUCAAACACUGCUGCGAACAUAUUAUUAUACUAAUGCAACCUUCAUGCCAUAAAUUCACCCUAUAGAUGAUAGAACAUAAGUCAUUUACUCAUUUUCUCUAUGAUGCACUCACUGCCAACAGCAUAUGAUGUCAAUCUGCUACGAUACUAUCAACUACUCCCUCCGUCCCAUAAUAUAAGAGUGUUUUUAACACUACACUAGUGUCAAAAACGCUCUUAUAUUAUGGGAUAGAGGGAGUAGAAUACAAGAACUCAAUUACCACCCUCUAACAUAGAUAUUAGUUGUUUUUUCUCAAAUCACAGAGUAGAAGUGCUUCAGAACUAUACAGACAAGUCCUUUGUUCAGAGACAUCAACAAACCUCGCAGACAUGACGGCCAUGCCAACAAAGACUGCUUUGACAGCUUGCUUCUGGCCAGCAUAGUCAAAUGCUAGAGGUAACAACUCAUGCAAAGUGAGGAAAGCCAUAACACCACCAACUGCGUAAAGACAAAUGGGAAGUCAACAAAUUACUAAGCAUGAAAUAUCACGUUUUAGCUCUACCAACAGACUAACCUGAUGCAAGUAGGCCUUCAAGAAUUUCAGGAUUUAAGUUGCUCGGAAACAAGACAGCUGCAGUAAUCACAUUUGCAUCAGUGGUCGAUAGGUUAUUAAAGAAUAAUCUUACAGAAAGGCUCACAAAAAUAGCAUACCUACAAAAAAUACUCCUAGUGGCUCAGCCAAACCAGAGAGUGUUGCAUAUUUAAAUGCUUGCCAUUUGCUUUGAUAUGCAAGAAAGAAGGAAACACAGAGAAACAUUAUCAGCUGCAAAAAAGUAAGUCCAAUAAUGACAAAAGGAAUAAAAGGAAAUAUUGAGCUAUAAAGAGAAAUUAUAAUUUCCCUUCUUUCUAAAGUACAAUCAUUUCAAACAUGGUCAUGCUUUGUAGGUGCUUUGAAAUCUAAUCGCCCUUUAAGACUGGAAGAACAGAUAAAGCUCACAUAGCCAAGAUCAGAGCCACAUUUGAGAAGUUCUUAGAUUGUAUGUCAUUUAAUGAUAAUGCAUAACAAGCAUGACUUAUAUUUGUGUAACCAACUUAUAACAUUUGGCUACAGAAAACCAAGAAUUCGUAGCACUUGCGGUAGUGGACUCAAGACUCAUUUGUGAAAGCUGGUGUGAACUUCAAACUUCACUAAUUAUUCAUCUCUACAUGGGGAAAACAGGUACCUUUUGGUAGCAAAAUAGAGUGGCAGAGCUACAGCAACCCCCUGAGAAGGUAAAAAGUGUCAACUAGUUAGGAUAGUAGAUCAAAAAGGAAAUUGGCAACAUGUCAGACUGUCAGCAGUCUCGGAUAUACUCCCUCCGUCCCAAAAUAAGUGUAACUGAUUUAGCACAACUUUGUACUAAAUCAGCAACACUUAUUUUGGGACGGUGGGAGUAUGAUUUUGUAGAACUAUGGCUUCUUUUUAAUUUCUCUCCAUAAAAUGGAAUUAUUUAAUUUUCCGUGUAGUAAUUUCUUUCAAAAUAAUAGAUCCUGCUAACACAAUUUGCAAACUCUCCCUUGUACGUAAUGAUAUGUUUGAUGCCAACUAAUUCUACUAUGGUCACUAAGCAUCAAACUGAACUACACAGAUCAAAAGGAAAAAUAUAAAAGUUGGAUAGUGUGGAGACCUAGCAAAUAUCAGAAUACUCGAAACUUCAUGGCAAAACAACACUGCAAAUGAGUUAAGAUUCAUCACGGCCCUCUUGUCUUGCCAUGAAUUAGUUUGCCAUGAGAUUGGGCUUUCAUAUAUCAAACCUAUAUAUUGACUCCCUGGUACACUAUAACAAACAAAUUUUUCAUGGCAGUUGAAUCUUCUUACAAAGAGCACCCCAAGGGCUAUCCUAAGUGCCAAUGGUGCAAUACAUAGCUGCAUAUAAGAAUUCUUAGGCUACUUAACCAGAAAGGCUGAUAGGUUGAUUUAUAUACCUCGGGUAUGUUAUGUAAAGCAAUAGCGAUAGCCAAGUUAACUCCCACGCGAAGACCCUGCAUUUUCGUUAUAACCGAAUAUAAUUAGUGCAAGCUAUAAAUAGUAAUAAAAAAGGUGCAUGAACCCUUGGAAAACCAAAACAACCAAGCUAUGCUCCAGUAAUUUUUCUACUGUAAAAAAAUGCAAGGUGCAAAACGUCCUCUUAGCAAAUCAAUGAUGCCACUACACUGAGAUGAAUACACGACGGCAUUACCUUCACGGAUCCAAGAAAUACUGCCAUUCCCUCAGGAAAAUUGUGCAAGCUAAUUCCUGCAGCUCAGAAUAAGUACAAAGUCAAAACGAUUGUGAUGAAUGUUUGACUUCAGUCAAAGCUAAUAUGCUGAGUAUAUAAAAACAGAGGCAGUAACUUACCAACAGCAGUAAUGAUGCCACUGAAUAAGACUUGCCGGCGAUGUUUUUUCAUCAUAUCUUUGCCUGACCCGUCAUCAUCAGUCUGCUUUCCACAAAAGAAAACCAACUUCUAUUCAGCCCACUUAUUUUGGUAAGAAAACAGAUUUGAUAUGAAUGAUGCUGGAAACAUCCCCGAGGAUUGUUCAUUCCAACCUUUUUCUUGCUUGCAUCAGUUGUUGGGACAAAGGUUGGCUCUGGAAUAAACUUGACAACGAAACCAAAGAAAAGAACUCCCGCAAAGAACUGCAAGAUAUCGCAAUGUGUUAUCUGAGAUAGACUGAAGUUUCAUGACAUGGAUUCUAAAACUGCAAGAAAGAUCCAACCCACCCAAAGGUUAGCCUUCAAGAAGCCAAUGGAGUUGAGUGCAUUGUGUGCCAAGUCUAGAAACGAGAUGCUCAACAUAAGUCCAGCAGCAAAGCCCUGCAUGUAGCAUGAGCAAUACAUAGAACACGAACAAUCGGACAACCAUUACUUUUACUUACCUAAAGGACAGAUAAUCAAUAACUUAAAAAAAAGGCAGUUGAUGAUGACCUGGAGGAGGCCGAGCCUCUUAAGGUCAGGGGAAGGGUUGACGAUCACGAGCAGCGCACCUGAAGACACAAAUCUUGAGCUCAGCUUAAGCGGUCACAAAGAAUCCUCGCAGGAUAUCACGUACUCCCUCCGUUCCAAAAUAUAGUGCGCCCGCGCUUUUCAAGGUUCAACUUACUUUUGCUCCCGCCGCAGUAAUUUAUGGUCAAAGUUGAAGCACGGGAACCGAGGACGCACUAUAUUUUGGAAUGGAGGGAGUACAAGCAUCAGAAACUGCUGACUAGCACGUGGAGGCGCAUUAGGCAACCGUGUUAGGCCAACAAGCAAGGUUUGCCGUUACAACCUGAGCGUCAUAAAAACAAUAGGAAAGCCAUAACCUCGGCGUGGAACUAGCUUUGGCGCUCUGUAAAUCAGUCUGACAGGCCCCUGGACUACCAGCUUCAUCUAUCUAUGCAUUCUGAUGAAUGUUGGGCUGCGGCGAUUGAUGACUAGUUGUCCUGCCUGGGUUCAUGUAACACGGCACAAAACUCCGUCUCUUUGCAAAUAGCAAGGCACUGGGUUCUUUUCUAAUAAUUGUGUAACACGACUGAACAAGAAGAUGCUAGAAUUAUCCCCGAAAAGGCCGCGCAAACGCUGAAAAUCCUCAAGUCAGGCGACAGACACACGGUGGCGGUCAAGCCGGCAGCACGCAGCCGGGUUGGGGCUCGGGGGGAGAGAAUCAGAAUCUGUGGCGGGAUGGCGCGUACCGAGGGAGGUGCUGAGGCCGCCGACGAAGGAGAGGGCGAGCGCCACCAGCACGUGCUGCUCCAUCUCCGCCGCGCUCGCGCUCGCGCUCGCGCCUAGGGUUUGAGGGGCCGCCGGCCGAGGAGCGGAGAGAGGGGAGGCGAGGAGAGGGAGAUACGACUAGUGGAGCGGAGGGAUCAUGAGGGAGGGAGGAUGGGGAUGGGUUGGAGGGAGGGAGGAAUAGGGGAACUGCUUCCCAAUCACGAACUGCUCAACUGCCUUUGUGGCAUUUCAAUCUAUUUGUAGCGAAUACUGAUAUAAAUAAAGGCAUAUUGAAAUACUAGUGAAAAUCGUGCCACUACUGGCCUGUGUCUGCGUGGCAUGAAUCAUGGUGCUCACUGCACCUUCUCCCACGACCAUUUUUCUCGAAUUCUUCUUUUUUAUUUCCCUGGUCUUGGAGGCAAUCGAUUUAUAUAUCUUCUCAAAGACCAGAUUUCGAAAAAGAUAAUCUUCUCAAAGAUUCCAACCCAAACGGCUGCCACAAGCCAAUCAAGUAUCCGAUGCCAUAUCAAUCAAAAGAAAAAUGAAAGAAGAGACCAAGGCAGGCAGUACCAACAGCUGGAAUAGAAUAGAAUAGAAUCACAACAAAUAUCAUUCAAUUUGUUCGAAUGAAAUGAUAACACGGCGCCAUUGGCCACGGGUUACAGACGCGGAUUGGGUUGAGUUUACCAAACGGGUCGAAAAGAGGAAUUACAUGUAGUAGUGCCGAUAAAUGUGCGGCGUAAUCAUCAUAGAGUGGUCAUUCGUUGAUCGGUGGAUUGAAUUGAAAUUAAAUUAAAUUUAAAUCAAAUCAACCGACGCGUCUGCGUGGCGCCGCGUGGGAGCGUGCGCGUCUCAGUGCAGGUAGUAGGCGACGAGGGAGACGAGGAGCGCGGCGGCGCCGGGCGCGCCGGCGAUGGCGCCGCUGGUGGCCGGGGCUCCGGCGGCUGCUCCGGCAGUCGCGCCGGCGGCCGCGCCGGUCGCGCCGGGGGACUCGGCCGGCGCCUCGGCGGCCGGGGUGGUCGCCGCGACCAGGGAGGCGGAGGCCACCAGGGCGAUCAGCACGGCGCAGGCGAUCUUCUUCAUCUCCAUGGCUUCUGCCUCUCUCUCCUCGCGGGUACGGUACGGUUGCACGGGGCCUGCGCAAAAGAAACAAACAGCAAGCGGCUAGGCGGUCGAGGAGGAGGGGGAGAGGUCGGCCGGCGAGGCGCGGUUUAUUCCGGUGGUGGGAGCGGGGCGGGGGGAGGGCGGCUCGGUCGCUCUCUGCAAGGCCUGGGAGAGGGUGGGGUGGCGCGGCGCCGCGUUUUGUAGGGCGCGCGAGCGGCCAUGAGAGGGCCUCGCCUGCCCGUCGGUUGCCGCCCUGCCCAAAUUAGCUUCCGUACGGAUGGCCAUUAGCGCGCGGCGGGAGCAUGCGGACGACAUUGCCUUAC